GAGGGUAUAGCUCAAGUGGUAGAGCAUGUGCUUAGCAUGCACAAGGUCCUGGGUUCAAUCCCCAGUACCUCCU
Molecule: transfer RNA, 73 nt
Organism: Camelus ferus (Wild Bactrian camel)
Lineage: Eukaryota; Metazoa; Chordata; Mammalia; Artiodactyla; Camelidae
Rfam family: tRNA
About the family: Transfer RNA (tRNA) molecules are approximately 80 nucleotides in length. Their secondary structure includes four short double-helical elements and three loops (D, anti-codon, and T loops). Further hydrogen bonds mediate the characteristic L-shaped molecular structure. tRNAs have two regions of fundamental functional importance: the anti-codon, which is responsible for specific mRNA codon recognition, and the 3' end, to which the tRNAs corresponding amino acid is attached (by aminoacyl-tRNA synthetases). tRNAs cope with the degeneracy of the genetic code in two manners: having more than one tRNA (with a specific anti-codon) for a particular amino acid; and 'wobble' base-pairing, i.e. permitting non-standard base-pairing at the 3rd anti-codon position.
Source: Rfam